Long non-coding RNA from Quercus robur (English oak), 1959 nucleotides. RefSeq lists it as uncharacterized. The transcript has 3 exons. The record is from RefSeq and is a predicted model, not a curated record. NCBI's taxonomy places the organism in Eukaryota, Viridiplantae, Streptophyta, Magnoliopsida, Fagales, Fagaceae.
UUAUUUCAAAUCCAUCGGAUUAAAGCAUUUUUAAGCUCCUAAACCCAGCCGAGCCUCCAUGGCUGAACCUAAAAGCUUUCUUCCCCCCCUCUCUCUCUCUAUCUCGAAUUUUCUCUCUAUAGAUCACCACCACUGAGGGCGGCGAAGCUAGACGGAGGCACCACAAACGGUGGUGACCGUGUAUGUUGAUGUUGCUGUUUAUGUGUUCUCUGUACAAGAAUAUAGGGUGUAUGCAUAAUCUAAGCAUGUGGAACAUAGACAAAGCUCAAAUCUACAGAAUCUAGGCACAUACAACAGCAUCUAUCUUAUGAAAUAUGAGAAUAGAAACAGAUAAUACCCAUUUUUAGUCUCCUUCUCUGUUAUUGCUUCCUCUUCGUUGUUUUGCCUUUUCCAAGCUGCGUGUUAUUGUUGUUGGCCACCAUUGUUUGUGCAUGUCCCUGCUGUUGUUGGUUGUGAUUCUUGUGAAAAAGGUUAGAUUUUUGUGUGUAUUUUGGGGUCUGUUUUUGGAGAUUUGAGGGGGCUGGGUUAUGGUGGUUGUAGUUGUGGUUUAGGGUUUGUGAAAGAAAAAGGAGGUGCUUGGUUCUGUUUUGGUGUAGUUGCGGUUGUUGGUUUCGGAUGUAUUAAAAAGGUUGGAUUUUUGAGUGAUUUUAGGGUUGCAGUAGGAGAUGGUUGUUUUUUGGGGGAAAGGAUCACCUCUUCUUUGUUUGCACAGUAGCUUGGUAAACUCAGGUGAAAGAGACAGGGGGGAAAAGAAGAGAGAGAAAGAGAAGGAAAAAUAAGGAUCCAUAUCCCGUGCAAUUCCUCUUUUCUCAGCCGUAGAUUUAAUCUAAUGGUUCAAAUCAUUGACACCUCACCAAAUAUUAAAAGACUUCUUUACCCUUUAAAAAAUUUCACCCGCCCACUGUUUCAGUUUCAGCCCUAACUUUUCAUAAACUCAAAUUUCAUUCUUCUCUCUCUCUCUCUCUCUCGCCUGAGCAACCCAUUCUCUGCCUCUCCUUCAAUCCAUUGUCACAGCAGCCCGGUACCAGUCCACACAAGGCCAAGCUUCUCUCUUUUCCAUCACUGUCGCUUCGAUGAACCAAUUCUCUGAACCUCCAUUGCUUCGAGAACCCAGUAGAGUUACUAUUCUUCCAAAGCUCCGGCGAAGCUUCAAGCUCGUCCGAUUCCGACGCCGACGAAGAAGACCCAUCUCGCUCUUCAACAAAAAAAACUUCCUCCCUCUUUCUCGUGUGUGAAGCUGUCCCAAGUCCCAACUCUCAUGGAGUGAAGGUCUCUCUGAAGCAACGAAGCCACCGGCCGGAUCGGUGGUUCCGACGGUACUUGGCCAUUGUCUCGUCGGAAAAUCCCCUUUGUCCUCCUCUUUCUGGAAUGGAGGAUGUUCUGGCGAGCUAUGUUUUUGGGAAGAAGACAACAGAAGUUGCUCACUUGAAAAAAAUUUAGCCUUUACUGGCCAAAAGUUUAAUGUAUCUGUUGAGAAAAGCUUUUGAAACAUUCCAUGAUCAAUUGAAGCACCAUGUAUCUUGAAGUCAACCUAGGCUAAUGCAGCAAUGGAAAGCUUGAACUUUUUCCAGCUUUUUGCUGAUGGUGGAGAAACUGUCAAAAAGGGAGCUAAAACAAUGAGCUACUACGUCUAAUCUGGAAUGCAAGAAUAAAGCUUACUUUGAGAAAAUUUAGACACAACCAAAGGCCAUCUUUGGAGGGAGCUGUAGUGAUGUUGGAGACAUAGCACAAGCUAUCGGCUACUCAAGCACAUUCUUAAAUAUUGGGCUACAGUUAACGACCUGGGCUUUAUCUUCAUCAAAAGGUUUUUGUUUGGUUGAGGGAUAGCGUAGUUCUUUUCUAUUAACAUUGAAUGUAUUCUCUAAUUUUGACGCAAGAGUUUCCUUAUUUAUUUAUACAACAAUCUUACAAGAAUGUAGAGUUCAAACCAAGAGAAUGUACUAACAUGUUUUAUCCUUU